UGUAGGAGCUGCCGUAGGCUGCGAUCUUUUGAUCUUGAUGUUUAAAAAUCAACAGAUCGCAGCCUACGGCAGCUCCUACA
This 80-nucleotide non-coding RNA is filed under the name Pseudomonas sp. 29. Lineage: Bacteria; Pseudomonadati; Pseudomonadota; Gammaproteobacteria; Pseudomonadales; Pseudomonadaceae. The record is from RNAcentral.